Molecule: non-coding RNA, 234 nt
Organism: Pelobates cultripes (western spadefoot toad)
Lineage: Eukaryota; Metazoa; Chordata; Amphibia; Anura; Pelobatidae
Source: the annotation of a GenBank genome assembly
CUGUCUAGGGGAUGGCUGCUCUGCUUUUGCACCCUGCUCUAGGAGGAGGUGGAUGUGGAGUAGGAAGUUCAGAUGUCUUCCCUAUCAACUUUCGAUGUUAAUAUCUGCGCCUACCAUGGUGACCAACGUAGAAUCAGGGUUCGAUUCUGGAGAGGGAGCCUUGGAAAUGGCCACCACAUCCAAAGAAGGCAACACGCGCUCAAAUUACCCACUCCUGACGCGGGGAGGUAGUGA